AGUGAACGCUGGCGGUAGACCUAACACAUGCAAGUCGAACGGCAGCACAGUAAGAGCUUGCUCUUACGGGUGGCGAGUGGCGGACGGGUGAGGAAUACAUCGGAAUCUACUUUUUCGUGGGGGAUAACGUAGGGAAACUUACGCUAAUACCGCAUACGACCUACGGGUGAAAGCAGGGGAUCUUCGGACCUUGCGCGAUUGAAUGAGCCGAUGUCGGACUAGCUAGUUGGCGGGGUAAAGGCCCACCAAGGCGACGAUCCGUAGCUGGUCUGAGAGGAUGAUCAGCCACACUGGAACUGAGACACGGUCCAGACUCCUACGGGAGGCAGCAGUGGGGAAUAUUGGACAAUGGGCGCAAGCCUGAUCCAGCCAUACCGCGUGGGUGAAGAAGGCCUUCGGGUUGUAAAGCCCUUUUGUUGGGAAAGAAAAGCAGCAGGUUAAUACCCCGCUGUUCUGACGGUACCCAAAGAAUAAGCACCGGCUAACUUCGUG
This 492-nucleotide ribosomal RNA is filed under the name uncultured bacterium. RNAcentral's name for it is "partial 16S ribosomal RNA". It matches the Rfam family "Bacterial small subunit ribosomal RNA", at positions 29 to 507 of the family's 1533-position model. The record is from RNAcentral.